CUUGGCGUAGCGCAGUGGUAGCGCACUCGGUUUGGGACCGAGGGGUCGUGGGUUCGAAUCCUCACCGCCGAGA
Molecule: transfer RNA, 73 nt
Filed under: Caulobacter phage CcrBL9
Lineage: Duplodnaviria; Heunggongvirae; Uroviricota; Caudoviricetes; Jeanschmidtviridae
Also listed under: 1 other name
Description: tRNA-Pro
Rfam family: tRNA
About the family: Transfer RNA (tRNA) molecules are approximately 80 nucleotides in length.
Source: RNAcentral